AUUGAACGCUGGCGGCAUGCCUUACACAUGCAAGUCGAACGGUAACAGGUCUUCGGAUGCUGACGAGUGGCGAACGGGUGAGUAAUACAUCGGAACGUGCCUAGUAGUGGGGGAUAACUACUCGAAAGAGUGGCUAAUACCGCAUGAGAUCUACGGAUGAAAGCAGGGGAUCGCAAGACCUUGUGCUACUAGAGCGGCCGAUGGCAGAUUAGGUAGUUGGUGGGAUAAAAGCUUACCAAGCCGACGAUCUGUGGCUGGUCUGAGAGGACGAUCAGCCACACUGGGACUGAGAAACGGCCCAGACUCCUACGGGAGGCAGCAGUGGGGAAUUUUGGACAAUGGGCGCAAGCCUGAUCCAGCAAUGCCGCGUGCAGGAUGAAGGCCUUCGGGUUGUAAACUGCUUUUGUACGGAACGAAAAGCCCCGGGUUAAUACCCUGGGGUCAUGACGGUACCGUAAGGAUAAGCACCGGCUGACUACGUGCCAGCCGCCGCCGUAA
RNAcentral lists this ribosomal RNA (498 nucleotides) under uncultured bacterium. RNAcentral's name for it is "partial 16S ribosomal RNA". It matches the Rfam family "Bacterial small subunit ribosomal RNA", at positions 30 to 523 of the family's 1533-position model. The record is from RNAcentral.